Long non-coding RNA from Sander lucioperca (pikeperch), 510 nucleotides. RefSeq lists it as uncharacterized. The transcript has 3 exons. NCBI's taxonomy places the organism in Eukaryota, Metazoa, Chordata, Actinopteri, Perciformes, Percidae. The record is from RefSeq and is a predicted model, not a curated record.
UCAAUGAUCAGUCUUUUGAUCUCUCCAUCACGUUUGCAGUUCUGCUCCCAGCUUUCUCGUUUGCGCUUCCAGAGUCUUUGUUUGCGAUUCUGACACAAAGCUCUCGCGUGGGCGGGUCUUACAGGGGUGCGUCCCCAUUGGCUAAUGAGUGUUAAGGGAAAGUUUGAGUGACAGCUCAGCCUCAGGUAAACUAACGUUAGAGACUCUGAGUCUGGUCUGGAGGACACACAAGCCACUCCACAGCGGAUUACUGCAAGAUUAAUAAAGUAGACCUGCAGGACCCGAGCAGAGCUACGAUGCUCUCCCAGGUAACGUUAGGUACUUCAAGCUUUACAAUAAGAAGUUAAGGACUACAGCCACAUCCCAGCCCUUCAGAGAACUGUCCUGCAGAAAAGGCUGUUGUCCAGACUGGAGCAGUGGGCCAUCAGUGAGCUCAGGAGACCAGAUGAUACCAGGCGUCUAGGAGUUGUGUGUGAUAUUCCUGCACCACCCUCAGAAGUGUUGUUGCAG